GAUGAACGUUGGCGGCGUGGAUUAGGCAUGCAAGUCGAGCGCGAACCCCGCAAGGGGUGAAAGCGGCGAAAGGGAGAGUAACGCGUGGGUAUCUGCCCUCGGGACUGGGAUAGCUGCGGGAAACUGCAGGUAAUACCAGAUGACGUCCCCGGACCAAAGGUGUGAUUCCGCCUGAGGAUGAGCCCGCGUCCUAUUAGCUAGUUGGUAGGGUAAUGGCCUACCAAGGCAAUGAUGGGUACUGGGUGUGAGAGCACGACCCAGCUCACUGGGACUGAGACACUGCCCAGAAACCUACGGGUGGCUGCAGUCGAGAAUCUUCGGCAAUGGGCGAAAGCCUGACCGAGCGACGCCGCGUGUGGGAUGAAGGCCUUCGGGUUGUAAACCGCUGUCAGAGGGGAGGAAUGGGCGGAGGGUAAUCUCUUCGUUUUGACCUAUCCUCAGAGGAAGUACGGGCUAAGUUCGUGCCAGCAGCCGCAGUAA
RNAcentral lists this ribosomal RNA (480 nucleotides) under uncultured bacterium. Its description in RNAcentral is "partial 16S ribosomal RNA". It matches the Rfam family "Bacterial small subunit ribosomal RNA", at positions 28 to 523 of the family's 1533-position model. The record is from RNAcentral.